This 494-nucleotide ribosomal RNA is filed under the name uncultured bacterium. RNAcentral's name for it is "partial 16S ribosomal RNA". It matches the Rfam family "Bacterial small subunit ribosomal RNA", at positions 28 to 507 of the family's 1533-position model. The record is from RNAcentral.
GACGAACGCUGGCGGCGUGCUUAACACAUGCAAGUCGAACGGUGAAGCGCCUUCCUUUUUGGUGGGUGUGGAUGAGUGGCGAACGGGUGAGUAACACGUGAGUAACCUGCCCCCUUCUUCUGGAUAACCGCAUGAAAGUGUGGCUAAUACGGGAUAUUCUGGGUCUGUCGCAUGAUGGGUCUGGGAAAGAUAUUGUUUCGGUGGGGGAUGGGCUCGCGGCCUAUCAGCUUGUUGGUGGGGUGAUGGCCUACCAAGGCGGUGACGGGUAGCCGGCCUGAGAGGGUGGACGGUCACACUGGGACUGAGACACGGCCCAGACUCCUACGGGAGGCAGCAGUGGGGAAUAUUGCACAAUGGGCGCAAGCAUGAUGCAGCGACGCCGCGUGAGGGAUGGAGGCCUGCGGGUUGUGAACCUCUUUCGCCAGUGAAGCAGGCCUGCCUCGUUUGUGGGUGGGUUGACGGUAGCUGGAUAAGAAGCGCCGGCUAACUACGUG